RNAcentral lists this ribosomal RNA (461 nucleotides) under uncultured bacterium. RNAcentral describes it as "partial 16S ribosomal RNA". It matches the Rfam family "Bacterial small subunit ribosomal RNA", at positions 338 to 795 of the family's 1533-position model. The record is from RNAcentral.
CCUACGGGUGGCAGCAGUGAGGAAUAUUGGUCAAUGGGCGCAAGCCUGAACCAGCCAAGUCGCGUGAGGGAAGACGGCCCUACGGGUUGUAAACCUCUUUUGCCGGGGAGCAAGCCUGAGCACGUGUGCCCAGGCGGAGAGUACCCGGAGAAAAAGCAUCGGCUAACUCCGUGCCAGCAGCCGCGGUAAUACGGAGGAUGCGAGCGUUAUCCGGAUUUAUUGGGUUUAAAGGGUGCGUAGGCGGCCUUUUAAGUCAGCGGUGAAAGUCUGUGGCUCAACCAUAGAAUUGCCGUUGAAACUGGGAGGCUUGAGUAUGUUUGAGGCAGGCGGAAUGCGUGGUGUAGCGGUGAAAUGCUUAGAUAUCACGCAGAACCCCGAUUGCGAAGGCAGCCUGCCAAGCCAUGACUGACGCUGAUGCACGAAAGCGUGGGGAUCAAACAGGAUUAGAUACCCGUGUAGUC